RNAcentral lists this ribosomal RNA (484 nucleotides) under uncultured bacterium. RNAcentral describes it as "partial 16S ribosomal RNA". It matches the Rfam family "Bacterial small subunit ribosomal RNA", at positions 30 to 507 of the family's 1533-position model. The record is from RNAcentral.
AUUGAACGCUGGCGGCAGGCCUAACACAUGCAAGUCGAGCGGAUGAAGGGAGCUUGCUCCUGGAUUCAGCGGCGGACGGGUGAGUAAUGCCUAGGAAUCUGCCUGGUAGUGGGGGAUAACGUCUGGAAACGGGCGCUAAUACCGCAUACGUCCUGAGGGUGAAAGUGGGGGAUCUUCGGACCUCACGCUAUCAGAUGAGCCUAGGUCGGAUUAGCUAGUUGGUGGGGUAAAGGCCUACCAAGGCGACGAUCCGUAACUGGUCUGAGAGGAUGAUCAGUCACACUGGAACUGAGACACGGUCCAGACUCCUACGGGAGGCAGCAGUGGGGAAUAUUAGACAAUGGGCGAAAACCUGAUCCAGCCAUGCCGCGUGUGUGAAGAAGGUCUUCGGAUUGUAAAGCACUUUAAGUUGGGAGGAAGGGCAGUAAGUUAAUACCUUGCUGUUUUGACGUUACCAACAGAAUAAGCACCGGCUAACUUCGUG